RNAcentral lists this ribosomal RNA (511 nucleotides) under Escherichia coli. Its description in RNAcentral is "partial 23S ribosomal RNA". It matches the Rfam family "Bacterial large subunit ribosomal RNA", at positions 1291 to 1787 of the family's 2925-position model. Lineage: Bacteria; Pseudomonadati; Pseudomonadota; Gammaproteobacteria; Enterobacterales; Enterobacteriaceae. The record is from RNAcentral.
CGAAUGCUGACAUAAGUAACGAUAAAGCGGGUGAAAAGCCCGCUCGCCGGAAGACCAAGGGUUCCUGUCCAACGUUAAUCGGGGCAGGGUGAGUCGACCCCUAAGGCGAGGCCGAAAGGCGUAGUCGAUGGGAAACAGGUUAAUAUUCCUGUACUUGGUGUUACUGCGAAGGGGGGACGGAGAAGGCUAUGUUGGCCGGGCGACGGUUGUCCCGGUUUAAGCGUGUAGGCUGGUUUUCCAGGCAAAUCCGGAAAAUCAAGGCUGAGGCGUGAUGACGAGGCACUACGGUGCUGAAGCAACAAAUGCCCUGCUUCCAGGAAAAGCCUCUAAGCAUCAGGUAACAUCAAAUCGUACCCCAAACCGACACAGGUGGUCAGGUAGAGAAUACCAAGGCGCUUGAGAGAACUCGGGUGAAGGAACUAGGCAAAAUGGUGCCGUAACUUCGGGAGAAGGCACGCUGAUAUGUAGGUGAAGUCCCUCGCGGAUGGAGCUGAAAUCAGUCGAAGAUACC